Molecule: ribosomal RNA, 433 nt
Filed under: uncultured bacterium
Lineage: Bacteria
Description: partial 16S ribosomal RNA
Rfam family: Bacterial small subunit ribosomal RNA
Source: RNAcentral
AACGAACGCUGGCGGCAUGCCUAACACAUGCAAGUCGAACGAGACCUCCGGGCCUAGUGGCGCACGGGUGCGUAACGAGGGGGAACCUGCCCUUAGGUUCGGAAUCCCUCCCCGAAAGGGGUGUUAAUACCGGUUAAUGUCUUCGGACCAAAGAGUUAUCGCCUUUGGGUGGGCGCGCGUUGGUUUAGCCAGUUGGUAGUGUAAAAGCCUACCAAGGCGUCGAUGCAUAGCUGGUCGGAGAGCAUGAUUAGCCAGAAUGGAGCUGAGACACGGCCCAGAAUGCUACGGGAGGCUGCAGUGGGUAGUAUGGGGCGAUGAAGGCAAACCUGGUAAAGCAAUGCCGGGUAAGUGAGGAAGGCGGUAGGAUUGUGAAUCUCUCUUACCCGGGAUGAGAGUGACGGUACCGGGUGAAUAAGCACCGGCUAACUCCGUG